CUCUGAUAAAUACUGACCAACGAUAUACAAUUCAAUUCUAUAACUGACCAACGAUAUACAAUUCAAUUCUAUACUUUGAAGCCACACGCAAUUCACUACAGACCAAUUGCAAUGGAUAAGCUCACAAGCUACAAUCUGUAGGUAUACAAGGGGUUGCUGAGUUGUGCUCUUUGCCAACAGGUUUGUUGUAAGCAGGACGCCGUAGUGAUGGUGUGCAGGUUGCGUCCGGCGGCGGACUCGGCGUCAGGGACCGGCAAGAUGACGGGUGGGCGCGGAGGUAGGCCAAACAUGGUGGAUCUCGCCGCGGGCGUCAAAAGGAUCACCGGGGCCAUGGAGUCGUUUGAGGCGGAAGACCGCAGAGGCUGGCCAAGCCAGACAAGCGCGUCCACCGUUCAAGGGAUAACCGGACCAUGGAUCCGUUUGAGGCAGACGAGCGCAGUGGUAGGCCAAGCGCGGCUGCCAUCGAAGGAUUCACCAGGGCGCCGCCAUGGAGCGAUUGGAGGAGAGGAUCCAGAUUAAGAAAC
This 524-nucleotide ribosomal RNA is filed under the name Triticum aestivum (bread wheat). RNAcentral describes it as "partial small subunit ribosomal RNA". Lineage: Eukaryota; Viridiplantae; Streptophyta; Magnoliopsida; Poales; Poaceae. The record is from RNAcentral.